GUGUUAAUAAUUUAAUGAAAAUAUUGGUCUUAUAAGUCAAAAAUUAGGUUAAACCUUUUAACACU
Molecule: transfer RNA, 65 nt
Filed under: Zootermopsis nevadensis
Lineage: Eukaryota; Metazoa; Arthropoda; Insecta; Blattodea; Termopsidae
Rfam family: tRNA
About the family: Transfer RNA (tRNA) molecules are approximately 80 nucleotides in length.
Source: Rfam by way of RNAcentral